Molecule: unclassified non-coding RNA, 240 nt
Filed under: plant metagenome
Description: partial contains small subunit ribosomal RNA, internal transcribed spacer 1, and 5.8S ribosomal RNA
Source: RNAcentral
UUUCCGUAGGUGAACCUGCGGAAGGAUCAUUACCGAGUGAGGGUCUCUCAGGCCCGACCUCCCACCCUGUGUUUUUGUGACCUUGUUGCUUUGGCGGGCCCGCCUCGAUGAGCGGCCGCCGGAAGCUCACCGCUUUGGGCCCGCGCCCGUCAGUAGCCCCCUUAAAUUCUUAAUAAACCUGUCGUCUGAUUUAAUGGAUAUAAUGAAAAAAAACUUUCAACAACGGAUCUCUUGGUUCUU